UACGUAGGGUGCGAGCGUUGUCCGGAAUUAUUGGGCGUAAAGGGCUCGUAGGCGGUUUGUCACGUCGGGAGUGAAAACUCGGGGCUUAACCCCGAGCCUGCUUCCGAUACGGGCAGACUAGAGGUAUGCAGGGGAGAACGGAAUUCCUGGUGUAGCGGUGAAAUGCGCAGAUAUCAGGAGGAACACCGAUGGCGAAGGCAGGUCUCUGGGCCGAUACUGACGCUGAGGAGCGAAAGCGUGGGGAGCGAACAGG
RNAcentral lists this ribosomal RNA (253 nucleotides) under uncultured bacterium. Its description in RNAcentral is "partial 16S ribosomal RNA". It matches the Rfam family "Bacterial small subunit ribosomal RNA", at positions 524 to 776 of the family's 1533-position model. The record is from RNAcentral.